This 472-nucleotide ribosomal RNA is filed under the name Atherinomorus lineatus. Its description in RNAcentral is "partial small subunit ribosomal RNA". It matches the Rfam family "Bacterial small subunit ribosomal RNA", at positions 788 to 1491 of the family's 1533-position model. Lineage: Eukaryota; Metazoa; Chordata; Actinopteri; Atheriniformes; Atherinidae. The record is from RNAcentral.
CACUAUGCCUAGCCUUAAACUUUGAUAGAACCCUACACCCCCUAUCCGCCCGGGAACUACGAGCACUAGCUUAAAACCCAAAGGACUUGGCGGUGCUUUAGAUCCACCUAGAGGAGCCUGUUCUAGAACCGAUAACCCCCGUUAAACCUCACCCUCCCUUGCUCUUCCCGCCUAUAUACCGCCGUCGUCAGCUUACCCUGUGAAGGCUUAAUAGUAAGCAAAAUUAGUAUAACUCAAAACGUCAGGUCGAGGUGUAGCAUAUGAGAGGGGAAGAAAUGGGCUACAUUCUCUACCUCAGAAUACACGGACAAUGUAAUGAAAAAGCAUUAGAAGGAGGAUUUAGUAGUAAGUAGAAAAUAGAGUGUUCUACUGAAACCGGCCCUGAAGCGCGCACACACCGCCCGUCACUCUCCCCAAGCCACUUUAACCUAUUCAUAAAAAACAACCCAGGCAAAGGGGAGGCAAGUCGUAA